Molecule: transfer RNA, 77 nt
Filed under: Escherichia coli
Lineage: Bacteria; Pseudomonadati; Pseudomonadota; Gammaproteobacteria; Enterobacterales; Enterobacteriaceae
Also listed under: 4 other names
Description: tRNA-His
Rfam family: tRNA
About the family: Transfer RNA (tRNA) molecules are approximately 80 nucleotides in length. Their secondary structure includes four short double-helical elements and three loops (D, anti-codon, and T loops).
Source: RNAcentral
GCAGUUGUAGCUCAGCUGGUUAGAGCGCUGGUUUGUGGCACCAGAGGUCGGUGGUUCGAACCCACCCAACUGUACCA